UCAAUAAAUUGGGCUCUUUCCUUUUGACCAAAAGAUAUAUUUUUUCCCCAAGUAUUUCAUAAAAAACAAAUUGCUGAAGCAAUUCAAGCUGAUUAUAGAUAGUAUCACCCCAAUUGUCUAAUGGUCAGUACUCUUUGAGGUCAUCAGCAUGGUCUCUCCUUUCAUUUGGAAGACAGAAAUUCAGUGAUACAGUUGCCAUUGUAUCCUAAAAUCCACAUGCUGCCCAAAGUAGACCUCUUGUAUCUCACAUUAUGAGAAAUGUGAGGUCAAGGACAAGGGAAUCAAGGUAAGGAAAGCACAGUGGUCAAAGGACCCUUUGAAAAGCUCUAGCUGUGGUCGUUCUAAAACAAAACUGGUAACCAAAGCAAAUGAGCCACAGAUUGACUUACAAGAGCC
Molecule: long non-coding RNA, 396 nt
Filed under: Bos taurus (domestic cattle)
Lineage: Eukaryota; Metazoa; Chordata; Mammalia; Artiodactyla; Bovidae
Description: long non-coding RNA NONBTAT000815
Source: RNAcentral